This 360-nucleotide ribosomal RNA is filed under the name uncultured bacterium. RNAcentral's name for it is "partial 16S ribosomal RNA". It matches the Rfam family "Bacterial small subunit ribosomal RNA", at positions 338 to 695 of the family's 1533-position model. The record is from RNAcentral.
CCUACGGGUGGCAGCAGUGAGGAAUAUUGGUCAAUGGACGAGAGUCUGAACCAGCCAAGUAGCGUGAAGGAUGACUGCCCUAUGGGUUGUAAACUUCUUUUAUAUGGGAAUAAAAUGUUCCACGUGUGGGAUUUUGUAUGUACCAUAUGAAUAAGGAUCGGCUAACUCCGUGCCAGCAGCCGCGGUAAUACGGGGGAUCCGAGCGUUAUCCGGAUUUAUUGGGUUUAAAGGGAGCGUAGAUGGGUUGUUAAGUCAGUUGUGAAAGUGUGCGGGUCAACCGGAGAAUUGCAAUUGAUACUGGCAGUCUUGAGUAGGGGAGAGGUAGGGGGAAGUCGUGGUGUAGCGGUGAAAGGCGUAGAG